UUAUUACAACUUUCAGCAAUGGAUCUCUUGGCUCUCGCAUCGAUGAAGAACGCAGCGAAUAGCGGUAUGUAAUGUGAAUUGCAGAUCUACAGUGAAUCAUCGAAUCUUUGAACGCACCUUGCGCUCCUCGGUGUUCCGAGGAGCAUGCCUGUUU
Molecule: ribosomal RNA, 154 nt
Filed under: Suillus bovinus
Lineage: Eukaryota; Fungi; Basidiomycota; Agaricomycetes; Boletales; Suillaceae
Description: 5.8S rRNA
Rfam family: 5.8S ribosomal RNA
About the family: 5.8S ribosomal RNA (5.8S rRNA) is a component of the large subunit of the eukaryotic ribosome.
Source: RNAcentral